AUGUACAUUAAGUACAUGAGGCGCCGACAGAUGAAUCUAACGAACCUUAGAACGCAAAAGAACUAACACAAUUUGGGGGUGUAGCUCAGCUGGGAGAGCGCCUGCCUUGCACGCAGGAGGUCAUCGGUUCGAUCCCGUUCACCCCCACCAAUAUAUGUGUGAUCUGUGAAGAGUGUGAGUAUAGAUAAGAUAUUUGAACGUAGGAUGAUCGGAAGAUUGGACUGCGUUAGGUGGAUGACAGAGUAAAGACGAAUACAAUAAACAAUCCUAGUUUAACAUUAUAGUGUUAAGUUAGGCUGACGAAAGUUAGGCUAAUAAAACACAAACGCGAAACUAAAUUCAAUUUAACAGAAGCUCUUAAGAGUAAUUCUUGGGAGCGUCGAGUCAAACUUGUUUUAGGGAUGUUGAGUUAGAACUAGGCGAGUUCAAGAGAGGCGACGCAAUGUAUGAAUAAUACAUGAGGAGCCAAACGAAGAACUCAACGACGUAAAUAACUCAAGAGACCAAAACAAGGAUAUCAAGCGUCAAAAGGGCAUCUGGUGGAUGCCUAGGCACAAAGAGGCGAUGAAGGACGUGCUAA
This 580-nucleotide transfer RNA is filed under the name uncultured bacterium. Its description in RNAcentral is "partial contains 16S-23S ribosomal RNA intergenic spacer and 23S ribosomal RNA". The stretch from base 75 to 147 matches the Rfam family "tRNA". The record is from RNAcentral.